CGGAGGGUGCAAGCGUUAUCCGGAUUCACUGGGUUUAAAGGGUGCGUAGGUGGGUUGGUAAGUCCGUGGUGAAAUCCCCAAGCUUAACUUGGAACUGCCGUGGAUACUAUCAAUCUUGAAUAUCGUUGAGGUAAGCGGAAUAUGUCAUGUAGCGGUGAAAUGCUUAGAUAUGACAUAGAACACCGAUAGCGGAGGCAGCUUACUAAGCGAUCAUUGACACUGAGGCACGAAAGCGUGGGGAGCAAACAGGAUUAGAUACCCUGGUAGUCCACGCCCUAAACGAUGACUACUCGACAUACGCGAUACACAGUGUGUGUCUGAGCGAAAAGCAUUAAGUAAUCCACCUGGGAAGUACGAUCGCAAGAUUG
RNAcentral lists this ribosomal RNA (368 nucleotides) under uncultured organism. RNAcentral's name for it is "bacterial SSU rRNA". It matches the Rfam family "Bacterial small subunit ribosomal RNA", at positions 526 to 896 of the family's 1533-position model. The record is from RNAcentral.